This 503-nucleotide ribosomal RNA is filed under the name uncultured bacterium. Its description in RNAcentral is "partial 16S ribosomal RNA". It matches the Rfam family "Bacterial small subunit ribosomal RNA", at positions 28 to 523 of the family's 1533-position model. The record is from RNAcentral.
GAUGAACGCUAGCGAUAGGCCUAACACAUGCAAGUCGAGGGGUAGCACAGAGUAGCAAUACUUGGGUGACGACCGGCGCACGGGUGAGUAACACGUAUGCAACCUACCUAUAACAGGGAGAUAACCCGGAGAAAUCCGGACUAAUACCCCAUAACACAGGGAUGCCGCAUGGCAAUAUUUGUUAAAGAUUAAUCGGUUAUAGAUGGGCAUGCGUUCCAUUAGCCAGUCGGUGAGGUAACGGCUCACCAAAGCAACGAUGGAUAGGGGAACUGAGAGGUUUGUCCCCCACACUGGAACUGAGACACGGACCAGACUCCUACGGGAGGCAGCAGUGAGGAAUAUUGGUCAAUGGGCGAGAGCCUGAACCAGCCAAAUCGCGUGAAGGAAGACUGCCCUACGGGUUGUAAACUUCUUUUAUAGGGGAAUAAAAAAGGGAACGAGUUCCCUAUUGUAUGUACCCUAUGAAUAAGCAUCGGCUAACUCCGUGCCAGCAGCCGCGGUAA